CAGCCGCCCGGUAAUACGAAGGGUGCAAGCGUUAAUCGGAAUUACUGGGCGUAAAGCGCACGCAGGCGGUUUGUUAAGUCAGAUGUGAAAUCCCCGAGCUUAACUUGGGAACUGCAUUUGAAACUGGCAAGCUAGAGUCUUGUAGAGGGGGGUAGAAUUCCAGGUGUAGCGGUGAAAUGCGUAGAGAUCUGGAGGAAUACCGGUGGCGAAGGCGGCCCCCUGGACAAAGACUGACGCUCAGGUGCGAAAGCGUGGGGAGCAAACAGGAUUAGAUACCCGCGUAGUCCCUGUCUCUUAUACA
This 301-nucleotide ribosomal RNA is filed under the name uncultured bacterium. Its description in RNAcentral is "partial 16S ribosomal RNA". It matches the Rfam family "Bacterial small subunit ribosomal RNA", at positions 512 to 808 of the family's 1533-position model. The record is from RNAcentral.